CUACGCACUCCUACGGGAGGCAGCAGUGGGGGAAUAGUUGCACAAUGGGCGCAAGCCUGAUGCAGCCAUGCCGCGUUGUAUGAAGAAGGCCUUCGGGUUGUAAAGUACUUUCAGCAGUGAGGAAGGUGGGUAUGUUAAUAGCAUAUUUCAUUUGACGUUAGCUGCAGAAGAAGCACCGGCUAACUCCGUGCCAGCAGCCGCGGUAAUACGGAGGGUGCGAGCGUUAAUCGGAAUUACUGGGCGUAAAGCGCAUGCAGGUGGUUUGUUAAGUCAGAUGUGAAAGCCCGGGGCUCAACCUCGGAAUUGCAUUUGAAACUGGCAAACUAGAGUACUGUAGAGGGGGUAGAAUUUCAGGUGUAGCGGUGAAAUGCGUAGAGAUCUGAAGGAAUACCGGUGGCGAAGGCGGCCCCCUGGACAGAUACUGACACUCAGAUGCGAAAGCGUGGGGAGCAAACAGGAUUAGAUACCCUGGUAG
RNAcentral lists this ribosomal RNA (475 nucleotides) under uncultured bacterium. RNAcentral's name for it is "bacterial SSU rRNA". It matches the Rfam family "Bacterial small subunit ribosomal RNA", at positions 329 to 793 of the family's 1533-position model. The record is from RNAcentral.